AAUCUGUCUGAGACAUUUGUCACCACAUUGACUGCCAGUGUUGAUUUAGCUGAUUUGGCAGGCUAGGUACCUCAGCAUUC
Molecule: small RNA, 80 nt
Filed under: Salvator merianae (Argentine black and white tegu)
Lineage: Eukaryota; Metazoa; Chordata; Lepidosauria; Squamata; Teiidae
Description: 7SK RNA (ENSSMRG00000010262.1)
Source: RNAcentral